GGAGUUGUGGCUCAGUGGUAGAGUGCUUGCCUAGCAUGCACAAGGCCCUGGGUUCGAUCCUCAACACCA
Molecule: transfer RNA, 69 nt
Filed under: Ictidomys tridecemlineatus (thirteen-lined ground squirrel)
Lineage: Eukaryota; Metazoa; Chordata; Mammalia; Rodentia; Sciuridae
Also listed under: 1 other name
Description: Spermophilus tridecemlineatus (thirteen-lined ground squirrel) tRNA
Rfam family: tRNA
About the family: Transfer RNA (tRNA) molecules are approximately 80 nucleotides in length. Their secondary structure includes four short double-helical elements and three loops (D, anti-codon, and T loops).
Source: Rfam by way of RNAcentral